AUUGAACGCUGGCGGCAUGCCUUACACAUGCAAGUCGAACGGCAGCACGGACUUCGGUCUGGUGGCGAGUGGCGAACGGGUGAGUAAUGUAUCGGAACGUACCUUUCAGUGGGGGAUAACGUAGCGAAAGUUACGCUAAUACCGCAUAUUCUGUGAGCAGGAAAGCAGGGGAUCGCAAGACCUUGCGCUGAUUGAGCGGCCGAUAUCAGAUUAGCUAGUUGGUGGGGUAAAGGCCUACCAAGGCUACGAUCUGUAGCGGGUCUGAGAGGAUGAUCCGCCACACUGGAACUGAGACACGGUCCAGACUCCUACGGGAGGCAGCAGUGGGGAAUUUUGGACAAUGGGGGCAACCCUGAUCCAGCCAUGCCGCGUGAGUGAAGAAGGCCUUCGGGUUGUAAAGCUCUUUCGGCCGGGAAGAAAUCGCAUAGGUUAAUACCCUGUGUGGAUGACGGUGCCGGAAUAAGAAGCACCGGCUAACUACGUGCCAGCAGCCGCGGUAAUACGUAGGGUGCGAGCGUUAAUCGGAAUUACUGGGCGUAAAGCGUGCGCAGGCGGCUCUAUAAGACAGAUGUGAAAUCCCCGGGCUCAACCUGGGAACUGCGUUUGUGACUGUAGGGCUCGAGUGCGGCAGAGGGGGGUGGAAUUCCACGUGUAGCAGUGAAAUGCGUAGAGAUGUGGAGGAACACCGAUGGCGAAGGCAGCCCCCUGGGUCGACACUGACGCUCAUGCACGAAAGCGUGGGUAGCAAACAGGAUUAGAUACCCUGGUAGUCCACGCCCUAAACGAUGCCAACUAGGUGUUGGGGAAG
RNAcentral lists this ribosomal RNA (808 nucleotides) under uncultured Dechloromonas sp. Its description in RNAcentral is "bacterial SSU rRNA". It matches the Rfam family "Bacterial small subunit ribosomal RNA", at positions 28 to 831 of the family's 1533-position model. The record is from RNAcentral. Lineage: Bacteria; Pseudomonadati; Pseudomonadota; Betaproteobacteria; Rhodocyclales; Azonexaceae.